UUAAUUGAAGAGUUUGAUCAUGGCUCAGAUUGAACGCUGGCGGCAGGCCUAACACAUGCAAGUCGAGCGGCAGCGGAAAGUAGCUUGCUACUUUGCCGGCGAGCGGCGGACGGGUGAGUAAUGUCUGGGGAUCUGCCCGAUGGAGGGGGAUAACUACUGGAAACGGUAGCUAAUACCGCAUAACGUCGCAAGACCAAAGUGGGGGACCUCAGGGCCUCACACCAUCGGAUGAACCCAGAUGGGAUUAGCUAGUAGGCGGGGUAAGAGCCCACCUAGGCGACGAUCUCUAGCUGGUCUGAGAGGAUGACCAGCCACACUGGAACUGAGACACGGUCCA
Molecule: ribosomal RNA, 337 nt
Filed under: Lonsdalea populi
Lineage: Bacteria; Pseudomonadati; Pseudomonadota; Gammaproteobacteria; Enterobacterales; Pectobacteriaceae
Description: bacterial SSU rRNA
Rfam family: Bacterial small subunit ribosomal RNA
Source: RNAcentral